RNAcentral lists this ribosomal RNA (483 nucleotides) under uncultured bacterium. RNAcentral's name for it is "partial 16S ribosomal RNA". It matches the Rfam family "Bacterial small subunit ribosomal RNA", at positions 28 to 506 of the family's 1533-position model. The record is from RNAcentral.
AUUGAACGCUGGCGGCAUGCUUUACACAUGCAAGUCGAACGGCAGCGCGGGCUUCGGCCUGGCGGCGAGUGGCGAACGGGUGAGUAAUGCAUCGGAACGUGCCCAGUAGUGGGGGAUAGCCCGGCGAAAGCCGGAUUAAUACCGCAUACGACCUGAGGGUGAAAGCGGGGGACCGAAAGGCCUCGCGCUAUUGGAGCGGCCGAUGUCGGAUUAGCUAGUUGGUGGGGUAAAGGCUUACCAAGGCGACGAUCCGUAGCUGGUCUGAGAGGACGACCAGCCACACUGGGACUGAGACACGGCCCAGACUGCUACGGGAGGCAGCAGUGGGGAAUUUUGGACAAUGGGGGCAACCCUGAUCCAGCCAUGCCGCGUGCGGGAAGAAGGCCUUCGGGUUGUAAACCGCUUUUGUUCGGGAAGAAAUCCUCUGGGCUAAUACCCCGGGGGGAUGACGGUACCGGAAGAAUAAGCACCGGCUAACUACGU